UGCCAGCAGCCGCGGUAAUACGAGGGGUCCUAGCGUUGUUCGGAAUCAUUGGGCGUAAAGCGGGUGUAGGCGGACCAACAAGUCAGAAGUGAAAGCCCUGGGCUCAACCCAGGAAGUGCUUUUGAAACUGUUGGUCUUGAGUGUGGAAGAGGGUAGUAGAAUUUCUGGUGUAGUGGUGAAAUACGUAGAUAUCAGAAGGGACACCGGUGGUGAAGACGGCUGCCUGGUCCAACACUGACGCUCAGACCCGAAAGCGUGGGGAGCAAACAGGAUUAGAUA
Molecule: ribosomal RNA, 279 nt
Filed under: uncultured bacterium
Lineage: Bacteria
Description: partial 16S ribosomal RNA
Rfam family: Bacterial small subunit ribosomal RNA
Source: RNAcentral